Molecule: ribosomal RNA, 440 nt
Filed under: uncultured bacterium
Lineage: Bacteria
Description: partial 16S ribosomal RNA
Rfam family: Bacterial small subunit ribosomal RNA
Source: RNAcentral
CCUACGGGAGGCAGCAGUGGGGAAUAUUGCACAAUGGGGGAAACCCUGAUGCAGCGACGCCGCGUGAGUGAAGAAGUAAUUCGUUAUGUAAAGCUCUAUCAGCAGGGAAGAAAAUGACGGUACCUGAGUAAGAAGCACCGGCUAACUACGUGCCAGCAGCCGCGGUAAUACGUAGGGGGCAAGCGUGAUCCGGAUUUACUGGGUGUAAAGGGAGCGUAGACGGCAGUGCAAGUCUGGAGUGAAAGGCGGGGGCUCAACCCCCGGACUGCUCUGGAAACUGUACGGCUGGAGUGCAGGAGAGGUAAGUGGAAUUCCUAGUGUAGCGGUGAAAUGCGUAGAUAUUAGGAGGAACACCAGUGGCGAAGGCGGCUUGCUGGACUGUAACUGACGUUGAGGCGCGAAAGCGUGGGGAGCAAACAGGAUUAGAUACCCCAGUAGUC